GGGGUUGUGGCUCAGUGGUAGAGUGCUCGCCUGGCAUGCAUGAGGCACUGGGUUUGAUCCUCAGCACCA
RNAcentral lists this transfer RNA (69 nucleotides) under Marmota marmota marmota (Alpine marmot). It matches the Rfam family "tRNA". Rfam says of the family: Transfer RNA (tRNA) molecules are approximately 80 nucleotides in length. Their secondary structure includes four short double-helical elements and three loops (D, anti-codon, and T loops). Further hydrogen bonds mediate the characteristic L-shaped molecular structure. tRNAs have two regions of fundamental functional importance: the anti-codon, which is responsible for specific mRNA codon recognition, and the 3' end, to which the tRNAs corresponding amino acid is attached (by aminoacyl-tRNA synthetases). tRNAs cope with the degeneracy of the genetic code in two manners: having more than one tRNA (with a specific anti-codon) for a particular amino acid; and 'wobble' base-pairing, i.e. permitting non-standard base-pairing at the 3rd anti-codon position. RNAcentral also lists the same sequence under 3 other names. The record is from Rfam by way of RNAcentral. Lineage: Eukaryota; Metazoa; Chordata; Mammalia; Rodentia; Sciuridae.